CUAGCGAGACUGCCGGUAAUAAACCGGAGGAAGGUGGGGACGACGUCAAUCAUCAUGCCCUUACUGACCUGGGCUACACACGUGCUACAAUGGUUGGUACAACGAGUUGCGAGUCGGUGACGGCGAGCUAAUCUCUUAAAGCCAAUCUCAGUUCGGAUCGUAGGCUGCAACUCGCCUACAUGAAGUCGGAAUCGCUAGUAAUCGCGGAUCAGCACGCCGCGGUGAAUACGUUCCCGGGCCUU
RNAcentral lists this ribosomal RNA (242 nucleotides) under uncultured Streptococcus sp. Its description in RNAcentral is "partial 16S ribosomal RNA". It matches the Rfam family "Bacterial small subunit ribosomal RNA", at positions 1140 to 1382 of the family's 1533-position model. The record is from RNAcentral. Lineage: Bacteria; Bacillati; Bacillota; Bacilli; Lactobacillales; Streptococcaceae.